Molecule: ribosomal RNA, 274 nt
Filed under: uncultured bacterium
Lineage: Bacteria
Description: partial 16S ribosomal RNA
Rfam family: Bacterial small subunit ribosomal RNA
Source: RNAcentral
AUACGGAGGGUGCAAGCGUUAUCCGGAAUCAUUGGGUUUAAAGGGUCCGUAGGCGGACUAUUAAGUCAGAGGUGAAAUCCCACAGCUCAACUGUGGAACUGCCUUUGAUACUGGUAGUCUUGAGUUAUAUGGAAGUAGAUAGAAUGUGUAGUGUAGCGGUGAAAUGCAUAGAUAUUACACAGAAUACCGAUUGCGAAGGCAGUCUACUACGUAUAUACUGACGCUAAGGGACGAAAGCGUGGGGAGCGAACAGGAUUAGAUACCCGUGUAGUCC